This 2900-nucleotide ribosomal RNA is filed under the name Klebsiella pneumoniae. Its description in RNAcentral is "bacterial LSU rRNA". It matches the Rfam family "Bacterial large subunit ribosomal RNA". Lineage: Bacteria; Pseudomonadati; Pseudomonadota; Gammaproteobacteria; Enterobacterales; Enterobacteriaceae. The record is from RNAcentral.
UUAAGCGACUAAGCGUACACGGUGGAUGCCCUGGCAGUCAGAGGCGAUGAAGGACGUGCUAAUCUGCGAAAAGCGUCGGUAAGGUGAUAUGAACCGUUACAGCCGGCGAUGUCCGAAUGGGGAAACCCAGUGUGAUUCGUCACACUAUCGUUAACUGAAUACAUAGGUUAACGAGGCGAACCGGGGGAACUGAAACAUCUAAGUACCCCGAGGAAAAGAAAUCAACCGAGAUUCCCCCAGUAGCGGCGAGCGAACGGGGAGCAGCCCAGAGUCUGAAUCAGCUUGUGUGUUAGUGGAACGGUCUGGAAAGUCCGACGGUACAGGGUGAUAGUCCCGUACACCAAAAUGCACAGGUUGUGAACUCGAAGAGUAGGGCGGGACACGUGGUAUCCUGUCUGAAUAUGGGGGGACCAUCCUCCAAGGCUAAAUACUCCUGACUGACCGAUAGUGAACCAGUACCGUGAGGGAAAGGCGAAAAGAACCCCGGCGAGGGGAGUGAAAAAGAACCUGAAACCGUGUACGUACAAGCAGUGGGAGCACCUUCGGGUGUGACUGCGUACCUUUUGUAUAAUGGGUCAGCGACUUAUAUUCUGUAGCAAGGUUAACCGUAUAGGGGAGCCGCAGGGAAACCGAGUCUUAACUGGGCGUUAAGUUGCAGGGUAUAGACCCGAAACCCGGUGAUCUAGCCAUGGGCAGGUUGAAGGUUGGGUAACACUAACUGGAGGACCGAACCGACUAAUGUUGAAAAAUUAGCGGAUGACUUGUGGCUGGGGGUGAAAGGCCAAUCAAACCGGGAGAUAGCUGGUUCUCCCCGAAAGCUAUUUAGGUAGCGCCUCGUGAAUUCAUCUUCGGGGGUAGAGCACUGUUUCGGCUAGGGGGUCAUCCCGACUUACCAACCCGAUGCAAACUACGAAUACCGAAGAAUGUUAUCACGGGAGACACACGGCGGGUGCUAACGUCCGUCGUGAAGAGGGAAACAACCCAGACCGCCAGCUAAGGUCCCAAAGUCAUGGUUAAGUGGGAAACGAUGUGGGAAGGCACAGACAGCCAGGAUGUUGGCUUAGAAGCAGCCAUCAUUUAAAGAAAGCGUAAUAGCUCACUGGUCGAGUCGGCCUGCGCGGAAGAUGUAACGGGGCUAAACCAUGCACCGAAGCUGCGGCAGCGACACUAUGUGUUGUUGGGUAGGGGAGCGUUCUGUAAGCCUGCGAAGGUGACCUGUGAGGGUUGCUGGAGGUAUCAGAAGUGCGAAUGCUGACAUAAGUAACGAUAAAGCGGGUGAAAAGCCCGCUCGCCGGAAGACCAAGGGUUCCUGUCCAACGUUAAUCGGGGCAGGGUGAGUCGACCCCUAAGGCGAGGCCGAAAGGCGUAGUCGAUGGGAAACAGGUUAAUAUUCCUGUACUUGGUGUUACUGCGAAGGGGGGACGGAGAAGGCUAUGUUAGCCGGGCGACGGUUGUCCCGGUUUAAGCAUGUAGGCUGAUUGUCCAGGCAAAUCCGGAUAAUCAAGGCUGAGGUGUGAUGACGAGGCACUACGGUGCUGAAGUAACAAAUGCCCUGCUUCCAGGAAAAGCCUCUAAGCAUCAGGUAACAUUAAAUCGUACCCCAAACCGACACAGGUGGUCAGGUAGAGAAUACCAAGGCGCUUGAGAGAACUCGGGUGAAGGAACUAGGCAAAAUGGUGCCGUAACUUCGGGAGAAGGCACGCUGGUGUGUAGGUGAAGCCCCUGCGGGUGGAGCUGAGACCAGUCGAAGAUACCAGCUGGCUGCAACUGUUUAUUAAAAACACAGCACUGUGCAAACACGAAAGUGGACGUAUACGGUGUGACGCCUGCCCGGUGCCGGAAGGUUAAUUGAUGGGGUUAUCCGUAAGGAGAAGCCCUUGAUCGAAGCCCCGGUAAACGGCGGCCGUAACUAUAACGGUCCUAAGGUAGCGAAAUUCCUUGUCGGGUAAGUUCCGACCUGCACGAAUGGCGUAAUGAUGGCCAGGCUGUCUCCACCCGAGACUCAGUGAAAUUGAACUCGCUGUGAAGAUGCAGUGUACCCGCGGCAAGACGGAAAGACCCCGUGAACCUUUACUAUAGCUUGACACUGAACAUUGAGCCUUGAUGUGUAGGAUAGGUGGGAGGCUUUGAAGCGUGGACGCCAGUCUGCGUGGAGCCAACCUUGAAAUACCACCCUUUAAUGUUUGAUGUUCUAACGUUGGCCCCUGACCGGGGUUGCGGACAGUGUCUGGUGGGUAGUUUGACUGGGGCGGUCUCCUCCCAAAGCGUAACGGAGGAGCACGAAGGUUAGCUAAUCCUGGUCGGACAUCAGGAGGUUAGUGCAAUGGCAUAAGCUAGCUUGACUGCGAGCGUGACGGCGCGAGCAGGUGCGAAAGCAGGUCAUAGUGAUCCGGUGGUUCUGAAUGGAAGGGCCAUCGCUCAACGGAUAAAAGGUACUCCGGGGAUAACAGGCUGAUACCGCCCAAGAGUUCAUAUCGACGGCGGUGUUUGGCACCUCGAUGUCGGCUCAUCACAUCCUGGGGCUGAAGUAGGUCCCAAGGGUAUGGCUGUUCGCCAUUUAAAGUGGUACGCGAGCUGGGUUUAGAACGUCGUGAGACAGUUCGGUCCCUAUCUGCCGUGGGCGCUGGAGAAUUGAGGGGGGCUGCUCCUAGUACGAGAGGACCGGAGUGGACGCAUCACUGGUGUUCGGGUUGUCAUGCCAAUGGCACUGCCCGGUAGCUAAAUGCGGAAGAGAUAAGUGCUGAAAGCAUCUAAGCACGAAACUUGCCCCGAGAUGAGUUCUCCCUGAGACUUUAAGUCUCCUGAAGGAACGUUGAAGACGACGACGUUGAUAGGCCGGGUGUGUAAGCGCAGCGAUGCGUUGAGCUAACCGGUACUAAUGAACCGUGAGGCUUAACCUU